This is a long non-coding RNA of Salvelinus namaycush (lake trout), 2187 nucleotides long. RefSeq lists it as uncharacterized. NCBI's taxonomy places the organism in Eukaryota, Metazoa, Chordata, Actinopteri, Salmoniformes, Salmonidae. The record is from RefSeq and is a predicted model, not a curated record. The transcript is spliced from 3 exons.
CAUUAUGCUGUGCAAACAUUGCAACACAUCCGCCUAGAAACCAAGCUGACAUUUCGCCAAAGCAUGGCCCAUUGCACAAGUACAGCUAACCUUGGCUACAUACGUUUUCCACCGUAAACACGUUUUGAUAGCAAGAAAUACGUAUACAGACAUAACUAGCCAACUACAGUACCUAGAUAUGCACGCUUAGUAAUGUUAAAUUACAAAAAAAAAGUGUUUCUGUUUCGCGUAACCCUUUUAUGCAAACAAAGCCAGCGUUACCAGCGGCUCGCUGUGUGGACAGGCGCCGGGGUGUUUGUCACAACACGUGCGGCGGCCAGGGAACAAAACAAUAACAACGCGAGGUCAGACUAUCAUCACCUUUACCUUAGCGGUUCUACCACGACAUAAAAUGUAAAAUACUACCCCAUCUUACAUUCGUGGGAGCUGCAGAGGUGGAGCCCCUCGUCUCUGGAACACCCCAUCAACAAAUACCCCGUUUUUGCCGAGGCAUCGGAGGUAGAAUUCCCCGCUACCGGUCCCAUCUUCACCCGCGGUGAAAAUUUCGAGGUGCCGGCGAGAGAUGAAGCUAGAGUGGCCCAUGCUGACGUCCACCGAGCCCUGUGAUGAGUUCCGUCCGAUGGUCGCCGACCUCUUCUUCAUCAGGUAUUCGAAUUCUCGGCCCUCAAGCCGGGCAACUGCCGACCCCACCGCCAUCUUCUUGGGGGUUCUAAUUUUGAGACUGUGUGGGGGAGAAAUAGGCGCUAAUUAAGGAGCACUGGCUUUAAUUUUGGCAGGGUUUAGAACUGUGGAGAUUUCGUAAAAGGGGAAUCCAAUUGUAAAACCGUUAAGAAUUUGGCUAGGAACGUGCCAGAUCGGGGACACAGCAGUUCCGACACACCGCCGCAACAGAGAGAAAGAGAAAAGACAACAGCCAACCAAUGGAGGCCAAAUGGGAGGAAAGGAGGUGACUGAUAGCUCAACGGCCCAAUCCCUUCAAAGACUGGACCCACGUCACCAGUCCUCAUCUCUACCACCGUAUCUCUAAACCCCAGAAGUAGAGGGUCACUUGGGCAGGAAGUCGUCCACCUCCAGGUUGCCGACGUACCAGAAGAUAAGGCUGAGAAAGAUGAUGAUGGGUCUGGAGAAGACCAAGAGGUCCCAGAACCUGAAGGGAGCAAAGAUGCCCAGGAAGAACAGGAUGAGGCCUGUAGCGUCCAGGAAGAUGGCUACGAAGAAGAAGAGAAGGCAGCGGCCCAGCUGAGUGUCGGUACAGGUGCUGAGUGUCGGUACAGGUAACAAGCCAGUUUCUGGAAUGGAGAUGUAACCCUUGUGCCGGUGUGUAUUCAGCUCGGUUCAGAAUGUUGCAGAUAGGAUUUUCUGUUCUAUUCAUUAUAUUUCUAUCUGUUCUACAUGAUACAUUCUAUAUCGUCUCAGUGUGUGUGUAGGGAAUAUGUUAUCAGUAUAACCAGUGGCAGACAAACAGCUUAGUGCAAGCAAAACAACCCAGACAGGUGUAGCAUUGAUCUGCCAACCAGACACAAACACAAACACGAAUAAAGGAUCUGAGCUAGGGAAGAUGUUUUGAUUUGUUAAUGUCCCUCAAAUGGAUUUAGAAUAUUAUAAUUAUCUAAUUCCUUCUCUCUUUCUGGAACAACAAUUUGUCUGAAUAACACCGACUUCUAGCAGAAGUGGAAUCCAAUAUCUGUGUUGUUGUGCGAGCUAUCCAGUCACAGACGUCUGAUUAAGAACCCAGACAAAUGGCGUUAUUAUUUUCUAAAAAAAAACAUCUUCAAAACGGACCAUGUAAAAUUCAGGACAUAAAAUAAUCUAGUUAUUUAUCCAUUUACAAGUAAAAAUUCACAGACAUUUCUAUCCUUUGUGCAGGGCCCGGAGAUUGCUUCAGCGCGGGGCCUCUCCCUGAAUGAAAGUAGUCUUCUAUAUUUAAAGUGUCUUUAGUUCAUACAGGCGAAAAGGUUUACAGUCUGUAUGGAUUUAAAAAGCAGCGCUUGGGUAGGAGCGGGGCAUACUUUCUUCAAAACCCGAGAACCAGAGAUCACCUGCAACAGAGGAAAAGAGCAAGUGAGAAUGAGAACACCAAGAAGACAAAAACAUCUGAAAGAAAAUAAUGGUUUUAGUCACCUGUAUUUCCUAGCACUGUGUUAUUUCGCAACGUCCCUUCUGGGACAAUAAAGAUUUAUUGAUUCA